This 627-nucleotide ribosomal RNA is filed under the name Hepatozoon canis. RNAcentral's name for it is "SSU rRNA". It matches the Rfam family "Eukaryotic small subunit ribosomal RNA", at positions 203 to 821 of the family's 1831-position model. Lineage: Eukaryota; Apicomplexa; Hepatozoidae. The record is from RNAcentral.
UUUAUUAGAUAAAAAGCCAGUUCAUGCUUUUACAGUAUGAAAAUUGGUGAUUUAUAAUAACUUAGCAAAUCGCAAAGUGAAAACAGGCGAUAAAUCAUUCAAGUUUCUGACCUAUCAGCUUUCGACGGUAUGGUAUUGGCUUACCGUGGCAGUGACGGUUAACGGGGGAUUAGGGUUCGAUUCCGGAGAGGGAGCCUGAGAAACGGCUACCACAUCUAAGGAAGGCAGCAGGCGCGCAAAUUACCCAAUUCUAACAGUUUGAGAGAGGUAGUAACAAGAAAUAACAAUACAAGGCAGUUAAAAUGCUUUGUAAUUGGAAUGAUAGAAAUUUAAACCCUUUUUAAAGUAUCAAUUGGAGGGCAAGUCUGGUGCCAGCAGCCGCGGUAAUUCCAGCUCCAAUAGCGUAUAUUAAAAUUGUUGCAGUUAAAAAGCUCGUAGUUGAAGUUCUGCUGAAAGUAACCGGUCUGCUUUUAAUAAAAGUGGUAUCUUGGUAUGUAUUUAGCAAUGAUGUCCUUUGAAGUGUUUUUUACUUUAUUGUAAUAAAGCAUAUUCAGGACUUUUACUUUGAGAAAAUUAGAGUGUUUCUAGCAGGCUAACGCUUUGAAUACUGCAGCAUGGAAAUAAUAA